Molecule: non-coding RNA, 45 nt
Organism: Agrilus planipennis (emerald ash borer)
Lineage: Eukaryota; Metazoa; Arthropoda; Insecta; Coleoptera; Buprestidae
Source: Rfam
AAUUCGGUUCUUCUCAGAACCACAAUUUUUCUCCAAACGACUACA